RNAcentral lists this ribosomal RNA (566 nucleotides) under uncultured Glomeromycotina. RNAcentral's name for it is "SSU rRNA". It matches the Rfam family "Eukaryotic small subunit ribosomal RNA", at positions 548 to 1114 of the family's 1831-position model. Lineage: Eukaryota; Fungi; Glomeromycota. The record is from RNAcentral.
UUGGAGGGCAAGUCUGGUGCCAGCAGCCGCGGUAAUUCCAGCUCCAAUAGCGUAUAUUAAAGUUGUUGCAGUUAAAAAGCUCGUAGUUGAACUUCGGGGUCUACCCAUUGGUCAGGCUUAGUUGUCUGCACUGGUGAGAUGGAUCUCUACCUUCUGAGGAACUUUCAUGCCAUUUAUUUGGUGUGAUGGGAAAUCAGGACUGUUACUUUGAAAAAAUUAGAGUGUUUAAAGCAGACUAUCGUCUGAAUACAUUAGCAUGGAAUAAUGAAAUAGGACGGACUGAUUCUAUUUCGUUGGUUUCUAGGAUCACCGUAAUGAUUAAUAGGGAUAGUUGGGGGCAUUAGUAUUCAAUUGUCAGAGGUGAAAUUCUUGGAUUUAUUGAAGACUAACUACUGCGAAAGCAUUUGCCAAGGAUGUUUUCAUUAAUCAAGAACGAAGGUUAGGGGAUCGGAGACGAUCAGAUACCGUCGUAGUCUUAACCAUAAACUAUGCCGACUAGGGAUCGGACGAAGUUAAUUUAUAAUGACGCGUUCGGCACCUUACGGGAAACCAAAGUGUUUGGGUUC